Molecule: long non-coding RNA, 440 nt
Organism: Gallus gallus (chicken)
Lineage: Eukaryota; Metazoa; Chordata; Aves; Galliformes; Phasianidae
Source: Ensembl
AAACCACCCCUGCCAGUCUCCCCCCAAGCCAGGGUGGCUGGCAUCCAGCCCCUUGCAGAAGGGUUUUGCAGACAUGAAUUGUCAGGCAGGACCAAAUAGAAAAGUACCCAGCAUUUUGGCAAAGCCAACCACAAUGACAGCACCAGCACCGCCGCGUGCAGCCAGCAGCCGCAGCCCUCUGGCCCAGCGCGCCCGCUCCCACCCCUCCAGAACCAUCCAGUACAUCCUGCUGGACAGCUGCAGGAACGUCCCAGCAUCCCACAUCCUAGCCGGCAUGGACUCCCACAAGGCCCACAGAGGGAAGCCAGCCCAGGGCUCAGGGCACUCUCUGGAUGCUAGGAAGAGGCUGCCAGUGUUCCUGCAGCUGUGUGGAGAGGACGUGGCAACCACAUCCCCCAGAGAUGUGCGUCUGCAAAUCUCCAGCCAUGAGCGGAAAGUGC